RNAcentral lists this ribosomal RNA (1034 nucleotides) under Frigoribacterium faeni. RNAcentral describes it as "bacterial SSU rRNA". It matches the Rfam family "Bacterial small subunit ribosomal RNA", at positions 48 to 1096 of the family's 1533-position model. The record is from RNAcentral. Lineage: Bacteria; Bacillati; Actinomycetota; Actinomycetes; Micrococcales; Microbacteriaceae.
UUAACACAUGCAAGUCGAACGAUGAACUGGAGCUUGCUCCAGGGAUUAGUGGCGAACGGGUGAGUAACACGUGAGUAACCUGCCCUUGACUCUGGGAUAAGCGCUGGAAACGGCGUCUAAUACCGGAUACGAGCUUCAGCCGCAUGGCUAGGAGUUGGAAAGAAUUUCGGUCAAGGAUGGACUCGCGGCCUAUCAGCUAGUUGGUGAGGUAAUGGCUCACCAAGGCGACGACGGGUAGCCGGCCUGAGAGGGUGACCGGCCACACUGGGACUGAGACACGGCCCAGACUCCUACGGGAGGCAGCAGUGGGGAAUAUUGCACAAUGGGCGAAAGCCUGAUGCAGCAACGCCGCGUGAGGGAUGACGGCCUUCGGGUUGUAAACCUCUUUUAGUAGGGAAGAAGCGAAAGUGACGGUACCUGCAGAAAAAGCACCGGCUAACUACGUGCCAGCAGCCGCGGUAAUACGUAGGGUGCAAGCGUUGUCCGGAAUUAUUGGGCGUAAAGAGCUCGUAGGCGGUUUGUCGCGUCUGCUGUGAAAUCUGGGGGCUCAACCCCCAGCCUGCAGUGGGUACGGGCAGACUAGAGUGCGGUAGGGGAGAUUGGAAUUCCUGGUGUAGCGGUGGAAUGCGCAGAUAUCAGGAGGAACACCGAUGGCGAAGGCAGAUCUCUGGGCCGUAACUGACGCUGAGGAGCGAAAGCAUGGGGAGCGAACAGGAUUAGAUACCCUGGUAGUCCAUGCCGUAAACGUUGGGAACUAGAUGUGGGGGCCAUUCCACGGUCUCCGUGUCGCAGCUAACGCAUUAAGUUCCCCGCCUGGGGAGUACGGCCGCAAGGCUAAAACUCAAAGGAAUUGACGGGGGCCCGCACAAGCGGCGGAGCAUGCGGAUUAAUUCGAUGCAACGCGAAGAACCUUACCAAGGCUUGACAUAUACCGGAAACGUCCAGAGAUGGUCGCCCCGCAAGGUCGGUAUACAGGUGGUGCAUGGUUGUCGUCAGCUCGUGUCGUGAGAUGUUGGGUUAAGUCCCGCAACGAG